GUCAAGAUGGAUAAGGGUAUUUUCCGGAUGAUCUUAUGCGGAAACCCGCACCGAAGUUUUCGUGGUCAUCUCUCUGUCAUCUCCCAUCGUUUGUCUUCGUCUUCCACGUUCAAUCGCCUCAUCAUUUUCAGGCCUCGACUAAAUUUUUGCUGUUCGGUUCCAAUUCUUGAAAACUGGAGAGCCACCGCCCGCACCGUCAUGGCCCUCCGACGACCACUGCCCCAAUUUCAACCACCAGUUUGAUCCUUAUGUUCAAUACCCCAAUCACCAUCCGGACCCCUUUUUGGCCAGCCUAAUUAUCCCCCACAGUACUCGCACCAUCCGCCACCACCGCCGCAGCACCAGCCUCCGUUCCAGCACCCGCCACCGCACCAGCAGAAUAACUGGAACCAUCCGGAGUUCCACAAUCAUCCCCCGGAUUAUCGUCCUCAGACGCACUUUAACGGCGAGAUGAGUGAGGGGUUUGGAAACGGCGGUUUGAGGCCGAAUUGUGGGAAUCAGAAUGCAAAUUUGGGGCGUAAAAGGCCUAGAAUCCAUUCCGACAGAACGGUUCCUGCAGAUCAUGCUGAGGCUAGUGGCCUCGUGAAAUUGUAUGUUGCACAAGUUCCCUGAACAGGAACCGAAGAAGCUAUUCGUCCUUUGUUUGAAGUCCAUGGAGAUAUUGUCGAGAUCAACUGGUCAACAGAAAGGUAGUUGCUUUGUGAAUUACGCUACCUCGGUUGAAGCAGACAGGGCAAUCAGUGCUUUGGACAAUCAGUAUACUUUUCCUGGAGUGAGUUAUUGUUUAUAGCCGAUUGACGAACAUAUUAUAUGGAACACUUUUGAUCUUAUUUUGAAAGUACGUUUCCGAUCAAAAUAAAUCAAUAAAUGACUAGAACUGACACCUAUGAAUGUGAAAUAUGCUGAUAGUGAAAGAGACCGCCUUGAGGCAACAACAUUUCAGACAGUCCGAGAUUUGGUCAUCCUCCUCAACCGUUUAGGUAUAUCGUGUACUCGGUUCCUUUUGUCUAAUUUGAUAACAUAAAUUGUUUUCUUGUUGUUUUAACCUUUUCUAGACCUGAGCCCCUCCUCUUGGUCCUCCUGCUGGAGGAUGUUUUCCUAAUAAUUCAUAUCCUGGACAACAAAAUUCUACAAUCUUAGGAUCACCAAGGAAUGCUUCCCAAGAGGCAUCCCAUGCCCCUUUGGCUCCCAAUGCUGUACAGAGACCACCCCCCAAAUACAAGAACCUUCAUCAUCUUUGGUCAAAUUUCAUCUCAACCAAUGCAAGCAACACAGCAAGCUUGUCAGCCUCCAAUGUAGACUGAUUUUUCUAAGAUGCAGAAUCAGGAGCGUUGUCAACAGCCCUAGCAGGAUUCACAUCUGCAGCAGAAUUUACAGGUUCAUGAGAAUACGCCUCCUAGUGCACGUGGCGUUCAAACCUCUAGUGGUACUCCCAAAUCACCUCGGAGGCGUCCAAGCUCUCGGGUAGAAGUUCCUUUGGAGUGUGAUUGGAGUGAACACAGCUGCCCAGACGGUUUCAAAUACUAUUAUAACUGUAUCACCUAACCUAUGAAAGUUUGUGGGAGAAACCAGAGGAGUUUACCUUGUUUGAGCAACAAUUGAGGCAGGAAAAGCUUAAAAAAUCGAACCAUCAGCUUCAUUCUUCAUUAGCAGGUCUCUCAUCUCCAGAAGUGCUGCCUCAGCCAAAUCUCGAGUCAAAAACUUGAAGUCCAAUCUUCCUCAGCUGAGUUGGAUUGUAUGCGACUUCAAUCCAAAGAAAGUCCUGUUGUUAUUCCAGCCUGUGCUUAACAAUGUUGUCCAAGUUAUUAGGAAGGUUAUUUAAGAGAGUUCAUCAUGUUGGCAACUAACAUUAAUCCUUUAAUGUCUAGCAAUUACAAUGUGAAUUAGGAUGGUAACGAAGACUACAUGUUAGCUGCUCGGCUCGCAACUUAGACAUUUGGAUUGCUCGUGUAAAGCUGGUGUUCCAUGUAGUCUAUCAACUAUCUAUCCUGCAAACUCUUGGUGCAGUAUAUGGACCACCAAAAAAUGUUUUGUUCCCCUCUCCAACCGAUGUGGGAUCUCACAUGUACGAGAUUAAAGGACAUUGUAAAUUUAGUGUACUUGAGAUAUACGUCGAACUUCUGUUGAUAUAGUUGAGAGUAUUCAUUUGUAAUCCGUUAAGCUCUGUAUUUGAGGUCAACUUGAUCUGUAUAUAUCUUUUUAUUAAGACGUUUUCAAAUUGGUUAAUCAUAGUUUAGUGGUCUGCAGGUGCCUACAACAGUAGACGGACAAUUGGGUACGGAGGUUGGUUCCCAUCAACUGUUAUGGAGUAAUUUGUAAUAAGUAUUUAAUUCCUGCUUCUUUUUUUUUUCUUUUUUUUUUUUGUAAAAAUAUUUUAAAGUCGUUUAAUUAUGGAAUGCAUAUAUGUAGUACAUUCAUUUAA
Molecule: non-coding RNA, 2422 nt
Organism: Cucurbita pepo subsp. pepo (vegetable marrow)
Lineage: Eukaryota; Viridiplantae; Streptophyta; Magnoliopsida; Cucurbitales; Cucurbitaceae
Source: RefSeq, a predicted model, not a curated record